AGUGAUUGCAAAGGAGCUGGAUGUGCAGGGCCAUGGAAUCCCGAUGACAGUGGCCAACAUCACCUACAUAGGCAUGAACGACCUCCAUGCUGUUGGCGGCCUUGGCACGCUACUGUUCUACCUUUAUCUCCUGGAGGUCAAGAUGGAUGUUGACAUUCCCAACACUGUUCAGGGUAAUUCAUUCAUUCAUGCCCCAUACUUGGCAUGCUAUUGUUCUAACUUUAUCUCCUGGAGGUCAAGAUGGAGGUCAAGGUGGAUCGGCAGGAGCUAGAAGUAAGGUUAUCUCCUUUUUCUUCCAUUCCGAAGAUGGUUGCCAUUUAUACAUUUCAAGUUAGUAGCUAUUCCAUUGUAUCACAAUAGAGAAGUAAUUUGGUUGCGUGAAAAACAUCUAGGUUUCUCACUGGAGCGGAACUCCUUUGCACGGAGUCUCAUAACGCAGACUCAUCCCUGAAAGCACUAUGACAGCACUCAGGUUCAAUCAUGUGUUGCCCCCUGAAGGUCGGUUGCGUGCUUGAUCAUCCUGUCACAUCACAUAUAUUCAUGUUGGCAUUGUGUGGGCCUAACAAAAAAUGCUUGGUUUGCUACAAUUUUAGGCUGCUCCUGUGUCCAGCCUUGCCAAUCAGGCCGGCCUCCACAUGCUGGAGGCGCCGCUGAUUGCUCUCCAGGUUCCCCAAGAUCAUGCAGCAGGUACUUAGCCAGCUACCAUUGUGAAUGAAUGGCAGACUCGCCCCCGGCUGUUUGUAACAAAACUGGAAGUUUGAAACUCUUGCUUUGUUCAUGGUUUGGCGUACCUACCCUGGCGGUGUGUGCGUGUUCUUGCAAAUAAGGUCUAUGGCCCAUUUACAUAUAUUUGAUGCUCUUAGAUGGACAUGAAAACACUUGCUUGUAGAUUUGGCGCCACUAUAUUUUAGGUCCAUGUUCUAACUGUCAAUAAUAUGGCACUACACUUGGUUUUAUCUCCUGUUUUUUAGAGUUCGAUGAAAAACUGCCACACCAAAGUUGGUUGCUUCUAGGUGCUAUUGUAUAGUGAAUGAUAACUGAUUUAUAGUCCUGAGAUGUUUAUUUGUGUUCUCUUCCCAAACAUAGCUACUGUUUUAAUUUUGAUUUGGUCGCUAUUAUGAUUGCUUAAGCUUCAUCAUGUUCCCUCUUCUUUUCAGAAAAAGAACAUUUAGCUUAUUCUUUGUGGUUGUCUAAUCUUCCAUAACCUCGGCUUGCGCAACCGUUGCAGUUGUCGUCACCUCUUCUUGGUUCAGGUGAGCCCUUGAUCUCCCUCCCUCUUUUUCACUGAGAUAGUCUGCCAAAUUUUGAAUGUUGAUUCAGUGUUCAGAUCUCCGGUGGUUUUCUUCUGGCCACCACAAUCAUGUGAGCUUGCUGGAUUUUUGUCCCUAUGAGCUGGCCGAAUUGAUUAUUUCAAAAUGGUAAGGAUUUUUGGCAGUCAAGGGCUUAGUUGGAUUGAAAAUGUGAAAUCUAAGCCCUUUGACAAAUUAAAUGUUGUCUCUCGACUAUGGAGCAAAAUUAUAUGAUUUGGUCUUUGUUUGUUAUCUUGUCACGUAGUUGGACGAAAUGGGAACUUCCCUAUCUGCUAAAUCGAGCACGCAUUGCAUUAGCUUCAUUGAGUAAGUGCCAUAUCGAGCGAAGCAGAGCAGGAGCUUGCUCUUGUCUUGGCGCUAUUUUUGGUACUGCUAUCGCGUCAUGUUUAUUUGGUUACGGUCACCAUUGAUGAACAGUUCAUCUACAGUUUGAAAUAAGUUCGGGUCAGAACACUGGUUUUUUUCCCUUGCAUUUUUGGUUCAAAAAGUACCAGUUUGAUUAGCUGCAGUUCGUAUUUGUACUAUAUAGAACACAUAUUAAUAAAUUAGCUCAAUGGAAUAAGCGCGUAACCAAGCUAAGGGUAGCAGGGCUUGCACUUGUCUUGUUGCUAUAUUUGGUACUGCGAUGGUGUCAUGUUCAGUUAGUUACUAUCACCAUCGAUCAACUAGAUUCCAUUUGCAUUUUGAAACUAGUUUUGAUAAAGAACACUGAUACCUGUAGUAUUUUUGGUUGAAAAAGCACCAGCAUGAUAGGGCAGUGGAGUUCUAAUUCUUGAGUGACACACUGUGACAGUGUGACCGCAUUAUGGAAUUUUUUUAACCUGUUAUGCCAAUGCCUCUUCACUGUUUGAUAUCUAACCGUGUACUUAUUUUGAUGUCCUUUGUAACAGAAUUUACCCAGAAAUGCCCUUUUAGCAUGGAAAAAUAAAUUUCAUUCUACGCUCUCAACUAUACAUGUAGUGAGAAUGAUGAACAUCUUUGUUCUUGUUGUUGUUGCCUACAGCACGUGCCACUUGGUCUGGUGCAGGGCAGGGUGAUGCAUGUGGCGUAGCUGCCCAGCAAGAUGGGCCUCGUCGACAAGAGGUGCAGGAAGGAACGAUCAUAUGGUCAUUGUUGUGAUUGCGGAUGCUCACCAAGAUCACAUCGCCCAAAGCAUGAAUUUCUGGACCUCACCAUCUAUUCCUCGGUCCAGGCAAGUUUGUGGUCUCCUCCUCCCCCCCUCUCUCUCUCUCNNNNNNNNNNNNNNNNNNNNNNNNNNNNNNNNNNNNNNNNNNNNNNNNNNNNNNNNNNNNNNCACACACACAGAGAUACACAUACACAUACGUGCACCCCUAGAUUGUCAGUCAUCUGAGUCGUGGUUGAUCGUGGUUCGGGCCAUCGAGCCAAUGAUUAGUGUUUGGAUCUACGGUGGCAUUCUUGUGUGACUGGUUGAUCAUCUUUCUUGUUGAUGAGACUGGUACCUUGUAUUUUUGUGCUGGGUCCUGUUUAGCACUUCAUGCUACACGGUUUGGUAAUGUCAUGCUUAGUUUUGAUAGAUAGGAUCCAUCCUUACUUAUUUUGGGAUUUUGACUUGUUGGUGGUUUGCUAGAAUCAAAUAGAAGAAAAUGCUUACUUGGUGUAGUGUGGCUGGUGCAUAGAUAGAUAGAACAAGUGCCAUCCUCGUGUACUUUUGAGGGAGCCAUCAUGUGUUGGCAAUAUUUAUGAUAAGUCGUGGAUGCUUUUGCCCAUGAAGAGUGGAUAUUAUUCUGGCUUUGGAACUACCUUUUUUAUCAGUCUAUUCAUGAUUGAGUCCAGACUUUUUUUUGGUUGUAUGAAAUGUUAGCCUGCAUUUGCUUAGGUUAGGACAACAUGUGUUUUGUGUUUUUCUGUAAACAAAUGUUUUGUGAUUUUUCAGAGUGAAUGUCUACUUGGGGUAACAACCUUCUUAACAAGAGCCUUUCUGGUCAAAUUCCACAAUCCUUGACAUAUUUGAUCUUGUAGGCGUCAAAAUUUUUGUGGCAUUGAGCCGUUAUACAAGUGCUGAGGUUAUUUGCAUUUUGUAAAAGCUAGCUUUUGGUUAUUUGUUAUGUUGCAUCGCUCUGCUGUUGGCUGAAAUGGUGUGUUGUGAGUGUCGUGUCCAAAGCAAAGCAAUUUGUCAAGUAGAGAGAAUAAUUUUUCUGGGCUGGCUUAUGAUCUUCGCCUAUACAAAGGGAUAGUGUAUUUGUUGGUUGGAAAAAGUGAUGCAUACCAUUGGUACUUUGCUUUUGUCAGGACCCCGACUCAAUGCCACAUCGAUCCAGCAUGUAACACUUCAUAUCACUUUGCGGCCUCACGCACGGUAUUCCCACGGGUGUCGCCUUACCUUUACCCGGGAUCGUUUGCGUCUUUUGGCACACGUAUAUGAUAAUGUCGCUAGCAUCCAUAUGAUAAGGAGCCCGGGCUGACAUGGCUAUUCGUAAACCCAAAGUGGCACAAACUUACAGGGACAGACAUCCAUGACCCAGCAUCGAACGUGUCGGUCAUCAGCGAGUGAAUCCAGGCUGUAGCACUGGGCUAGCAGGACUUCGGUGAACCAGGCUGUAGCGGGCUAACAGGACUCCGGUAUUCAUCGCGUGACAUUUCCCCGAAGGGACAGACACAGGAACGAAGAAGGACACAUGCCGGCCAGCCUAAGUGUUUCGGAGCAGUAGCAAGCUACCAUGGCUCGGUGGAAACACUAGGAGACAUUUCCCGGUAAGAGAGGCUACUAAAGAUAAACAACUAGAUAGUCAGAUCCCACACAUAUCAAGCAUUUCAAUAACAUACACACAAUAUGCUCGAUAUGUGCAAUACAACAUGGCAUCACAAAAUGACUCUACGACUCAAGUAGUUUAUUCAAUAGGCUUCGAGGAGCGAGACAUUACAAACAUGGGUCUCAUGACCCAACAAUCAGAGCAUACAAGUCAAAGCACAAGCGGAAGCUAUCAUGUCUGGGUACAGACAUCUAUAAAUGAAAAAGGCUGAGAAGCCUGACUAUCUAUCAGAUCCUGCCGAGGGCACAAGAUCGUAGCUGAGGUAACAAGCUAAACGUCGAAGUCCACGUGGAACUACUAGUGAGACUGAAGUCUCUCUGCAAAAACAUAAAAUAGGCAAACGUGAGUACAAAUGUACCCAGCAAGACUUACAUCAAAACUAACUACAUAUGCAUCAUUUUCAACAAGGGGAUGGUGGGGUUUAACUGCAGCAAGCCAGCUUUGACUCGGUGGCUAUCCUAAACUACGACUGCAAGCGACUCUUUUGAGGUGGCGCACACGAGUCCACAUAUUCACCAUAUCAAUACACCACUAUGGAUCCGCUCCCGUCUCCCUAUGAGAACGCCAUCCAUAGCACUCACGCUUAUCUUGCGUAUUUUAAAGUAUCCACUUUCACUUGUCUAUGAACUGAUAUAAACAACCAAGUAGUCCUUUACCGCGGACGCGACUAUUCGAAUAGAUCAUGAUAACCCUGCAGGGGUGUACUUCUUCAUACAUGUUUCCACCACUUAGCGUCUGCACACGACAUGUGCUCGGCAGACUUCAAGCUACCGCAACAAGUAACAGAUGAAUCGAUGUUGUCCUAAUGCAGUAAAAGAGAGCAGGAGCGAGAGAGUGGGAUUGUAUCGGAAUGAACAAGGGGGUUUUGCUUGCCUGGCACUUCUGAAGAUAAUAUUGAGUCUUCAUCAGUGUCAACGAUCACAUCAUCGGUAUCACGUCUAUCGAGAGGGGACAAAUACCGGCAACACAGAAGGGAACACAAUCAAUGCAAUGCACAAUAUGAUGCAUGAUCAUGACAUGGCAAAAUGAAUGUGUUUUGAGCCAAUGCAACUAGCAACAGAUUAAAUGAAGUUGGUUUGAAUACAAGAUUCAAAUUCAAACUCCAUAUGUGAUUAUUUAAAUGCCCUUUAUUUGAUUUGUGCUAAACAGCAACUAUAAGUUGUUCUAACAUGCAUGAAAAUGGUACAGAUGGAUUCCUUGAAUUUUACUGAUAAUUUUUCAUAUAUAAAUUAUUUAAUUUGGAGUUACGGUUGAAUUUCUAUGAAUUUUAGAAGUUUAUACAAUUUUCUGGAAUUUAUAAAUCAUUUCCUAAUUUAUUUUAAUUCCAGAAAGGAAUUAUUGCGUCAGCAUGACCUCAUCCUGACGUCAUCAGGUCAACAGGGCGGGUCCAGGUCAAACNNNNNNNNNNAGAUACCUGGUAUUUCUCUCCUUCCCCACUUUAAGCACAAAGAACAACUUCAGAGGCACAUUGUGCGCUUGCACUUAUUAUUUUUACUGUAUUGUCAGUUCGGUGUUUGUGAGAUAGGCAUUGCUAACUUGCAACUUGUGAACCGGUUUACUCCUUGUCUGUCUCUCUCGGCCCUUGUAUCUUGAUUUUACAUGUACCAGUAGACAUCACUUCUGUUAUUUAGAUACAAGUUUUGUGUUUGGACAUGUGAAUUUUCUCUCACUACUUGAAGGUUUCAUGUGGAAUUUCCGAGAGUACCAAACCAACUCCUAGUUUUUCACCCUUCUGUCAGUCCUUGUAUCUAAAUUAACUGCAACUAUUUUCUGCAAGGAACUGCAUUAAGCAAGAACACAAACCCCUGUCUCCACCACAUAUAUUUCUCAUUGUCAAAGGAAGGUCAUCUUUAGAAAUCUGAAGUCAUGGCUGCCUGUUAGGGUGUCUUUGGAUCCUAAGCAAUUGUAGUGUUAGCUUGCUUAGCAAGGAAAUCUGUUUGGUAAAAGCUAAACUAACCUGGCAAUUCCAUCUAGCCUGCACACGCUAGAAAAGCCUUGCCCCAGCAGGAGGGCCAAUUUGGCUCUCCGUUGGUAAUAAAUGAGUGGAAGAAAGAAAUCAAGGUAACUGCCACUGGAAUUGUGCUUAACCAAGGAGAUUGGUAGCUGAACCAAAUAGCUGGCUUUGCCCACGUAGGCUGUAGCUCAAAAGCCUUGGUUAGCUCGGCAUUGACGGCAAAAGAUAUAAACACACCCUCAAUGACAUCACUCCCUCUAAUUCACAAGUGCUGUUUGGACAUUAGCACGCUCCACACCGUAACUUCGACAAGCAAUUUCUGCUAUCAUGCAUACAUUUAAAUUUUUUCUGAGUGGACAGAGUACCAUAUGUUGACUUAGGUGAACAUUUCUGGUUUGUGCAAUAUAUUUAGUUGCCGAGUUGAUCGAUUAGAUUUAGAUAGAAAGCGUCCAAAUACGAAGAAAAUUGCUGAGCCAUUAAACUGUUUUCUGGAGAUCAAAGUCACCAAGUAUUCUAUGGAGGGCUCGCAGAAUGGCGCCUGUACAGAAAUGAGUUGACUUUGUGUUGUUAUCCGGCUUGUUUAGUUCGUUGACCUAUUUGUGUUUAUUGAUCCAUAUUUAAAUGUUCUCAAUUCACAGUCAACAGGAGGUUGGAUGAGUGGGUUAAACUUGAACAACCUGCUCUCUCUCACGUUGCUCUUCACCUUUGUUUGAAUUCGUUUUGCAUCGUUUGGUAGAACCGGGAUGAAUUUUGAUUAAGUUGUUUGCCCUUUCUUUGUGUUGUGUUCAAUUUCAUCACUGAUUUCCUUGUUAGUACCACUACUUGUUUCUGCGACUAUUCUAAUUGCAGACGACGACAUCAGCAUCCCUACAGAUCUGAAGCGGCCCAUCCUUAAUGGUUUCUACCGCCAUAUCUACCAACCCCGACCGGAUUUAUCAUUGCAUGGGAUCUCUCCUUAUCCGACGCUCACUCUGACGCAUCUGGCAUAGGUAAGCCACUGGUUCCUCCUCUGGUCACCCUCAUGCUCCGUGUAACCAUGGCCACCGAGUUGUGAUGAUUUUUUUUGUACACGAAUGAGAUAAUUUAUGUGUUCCAAACAUUGUGCACAGAUCAUUCUUAUAUUUGCUUGAAUUGGGAAACCCAAUCAAAUCAUCUUCUUUUGUGCUUCCUAUUUGCUGAUCCAUCGUAUGGGUGUACUGUGUAUGUAUGUAAAGGAGAUGGAGAAAGAUAGGAGUUGUAGCUUUUAGAAAUCUUGGUAUUGAUGGGGAAAGAUAGUGAUCACAGUUUCUUUGUUGGAAAGUGUCCAAACUUUUUUUCCCGGAAAUAUAAAUAUGAAUAAAGACAUUGUAUUUCUGUUACCAAAUAAAAAUCAUCUCCUUUUGUGUUUUUUAUGGCUGAUCCAUUUUAUGGGUGUUUUGUGCUUGCAUGUAAAGGGAAUGGGGAAAGAUGGGAGUACUAGCUUUUAGAAACACAUUUACUUAUUGGAAUUCCAGUAUUAAUGGGGGAAGAUAAUAAUCACUGUGUCCAGGUUAGAAAGCUUCCAAUUACGAAGAAAAUAGCCAGAGCUAUUAAACAUUUUUCUGGAGAUUCAAUUCACCUAUUAUAUUUCUGUUCCUCCGAUACUGCUACGUUCUUUUCAUGAUUGGUAACUACAAGUGUUCCCUUUUUGAUUAACAGAAGUGAUUGCAAAGGAGCUGGAUGUGCAGGGCCAUGGAAUCCCGAUGACAGUGGCCAACAUCACCUACAUAGGCAUGAACGACCUCCAUGCUGUUGGCGGCCUUGGCACGCUACUGUUCUACCUUUAUCUCCUGGAGGUCAAGAUGGAUGUUGACAUUCCCAACACUGUUCAGGGUAAUUCAUUCAUUCAUGCCCCAUACUUGGCAUGCUAUUGUUCUAACUUUAUCUCCUGGAGGUCAAGAUGGAGGUCAAGGUGGAUCGGCAGGAGCUAGAAGUAAG
Molecule: long non-coding RNA, 7991 nt
Filed under: Triticum aestivum (bread wheat)
Lineage: Eukaryota; Viridiplantae; Streptophyta; Magnoliopsida; Poales; Poaceae
Description: long non-coding RNA (TAES_LNC012564)
Source: RNAcentral